GUGAAUUUAGUUUUAACAAAAACAUUUAUUCUGCAAAUACACGAUAAAGGUUUAAAUCCUUUAAUUCACA
Molecule: transfer RNA, 70 nt
Filed under: Freyastera benthophila
Lineage: Eukaryota; Metazoa; Echinodermata; Asteroidea; Brisingida; Brisingidae
Description: tRNA-Ala
Rfam family: tRNA
About the family: Transfer RNA (tRNA) molecules are approximately 80 nucleotides in length.
Source: RNAcentral